This is a non-coding RNA of Danionella cerebrum, 73 nucleotides long. Lineage: Eukaryota; Metazoa; Chordata; Actinopteri; Cypriniformes; Danionidae. The record is from the annotation of a GenBank genome assembly.
GACUGGUUGAUUUAGGGGUAUGAUUCUCACUUUGGGCGCGAGAGGUCCCGUGUUCAAAUCACGGUCGAGCUCA